Molecule: long non-coding RNA, 866 nt
Filed under: Homo sapiens (human)
Lineage: Eukaryota; Metazoa; Chordata; Mammalia; Primates; Hominidae
Description: novel transcript
Source: RNAcentral
GAGUAAUGAAGUUAAGUGGUUGGGGUGAGCUUGAAUGCUUUAUAUUUUUUAAUAUUUAAAACAACGUCAGCUGAGUACCAGGUGUGAAGAAGAGGUAAUGAGUGAAAAAAACCAAGAGAAAGGGGAGACUUGUUCCAACCGCAGAAUUUCCAGCUUCUGCAACGAGAGCUCGUACCUUCAGCCCCACUGCCUCUGCUCUAGGCUCUCCUCUGAUCCUCAGGACAUUUUUCCUCUCACUCUUUGAGAACUCGUUUACCUUCCUUUUCCAUCAAUGUCUGAUCACCCAGAGAAGGUGGGAGAAUAAAUACCAAGCACUGUGCCUUCCCUCAAGGAGCAUUUAAUCCAGUGUCACUGCUGACUUCCUGUGGAUAAUGCAAAGUUGGCUUACAAUAGUAAGGGAGACCACUAAAUUGACAGAAUCUUUGUAGCAUUUCAAAAGGGUGUCAGGCCUCUGAGCCCAAGCUAAGCCAUCGUAUCCCCAGUGACCUGCACAUAUACAUCCAGAUGACCUGAAGCAACUGAAGAUCCACAAAAAAAAUGAAAAUAGCCUUAACUGAUGACAUUCCAUCAUUGUGAUUUAUUUCUGCCCCAACCUAACUGAUCAGUGUACUUUGUAAUCUCCCCCACCCUUAAGAAGGUUCUUUAUAAUCUCCCCCAUCCUUAAGAAGAUUCCUUGUAACUCUCCCCACCCUUGAGAAUGUACUUUGUGAGAUCCACCCCCUGCCCCCAAACCAUUGCUCUUAACUCCACUGCCUAUCCCAAAACCUGUAAGAACUAAUGAUAAUCCACCACCCUUUGCUGACUCCUUUUUCAGACUCAGCCCGCCUGCACCCAGGUGAAAUAAACAGCCUUGUUUUUCACACAAA